CACAAAGCCGUAACUUUACCGAGCUCCGCGGCACAAACACUUCACCGUAAACGUCUUCCUCGCGCUCCUCGCGUCUCUUCGUGUCGUCGGCGUGUGGAGACGCAGACAAACACUGCUCCGGUUUAUUUUACGGAGGGCAGGAGACUGAACCGCCAUCAUCUGCAGUAAUGUCUAAAAACACAAAGAGCACCAUUCAGAGGCCUCUGUAGCCACAACCCACACCCACACGAUUACAAGGACACCCGGACCCAUCGUCCUCCAGCCUGGAGUCAUCAGAGUUUCAGCUUUCCGAGGAGUUGGAGGGUACAGGUGCUUCCCUGGGACUGUCACAGAUGGAGCCAUGAAGAUCCAGAGCCAGGCAGAGAGGCCCCACGCUCUGAAAAUUACUUUGGAAACUCUGUUUAUACAUAUAUUUAUAAAUGACUUGACUUAGUAGAGAUGAACUAUAGACUUUCUCACUUCAGAGAGCGGCUGAACUUGAUGCAAACCUACGCAGCUGACGCAGGGCAAUUGAUUUAACCCAUAAAAUAUUCAUAGCAAGACGUUUUGACACACUUUGUAUUUAUUAAAAGUCACCUGGACUAAAUAAUGCAUUGUGUGCAGUGACACUGGAGACGCCUCAGUCACACAAUAGAGAAAAAGCAUUAAGGAUGUGCAUGAAACCUACAGCUCAUCUCGUAUUUACCUCUCGUGUAACGUAACUCGUUUUGAAAGGCAGUGAUACCCGUGUGUUUGCUGAAUCACUAUUCUAACUGAAAUAUGUCUAUGAGAUGUAAUCACACACAAGAACCACUGUUUACAGCUUCACUCAACAGAGGGGAACUAUUUGUAACUAACGAUUGAGCACCGUCACGCUCGUAGUCGUUUUCAAAUCAAAUGCACCUUUACAAGUGCAAAAUAAAAAGCCUGUGUGUUUACUGGUCCCUAC
This is a long non-coding RNA of Betta splendens (Siamese fighting fish), 928 nucleotides long. RefSeq lists it as uncharacterized. Lineage: Eukaryota; Metazoa; Chordata; Actinopteri; Anabantiformes; Osphronemidae. The record is from RefSeq and is a predicted model, not a curated record. The transcript has 3 exons.